AUCUUUAUAUUAAAUGUCUAUCUUUUUGUUAAAGUCAGCUAUAUUGAUUUCAUUGAGAAUGAGCUUCAUUAAGGACAGGUAAUAUCUGGCUUAAUAAUAAUUUUUCUCUCAAAGGAUGGCAAAAUGCCUGGCCCUUAAUAUUAAUAAUAGUUACAAUGCUAUUUAUUAAUUUAAUUUAUUAUUAAUGAAUUAAUAGUACUAAUAUUGCUCAUUGAUUGUUUAUUAUGUGUCAGACCCUGAAUCAUUAUGUUGACACAUUUAAUCCUCGUAACAGCCCUAUAAAGUAGGUACAAUAUCUAUUCUCAUUUUGCAGAAAAGAAAAAUGAAAACAAAGAGUUUCAGUAAUUUUUUUGGAUUCACUCAAUUGAAGUAUUCUUUUAUGUAUGUAAAAGGAGCAUAUGGGAAAAGGCUUCAAAAUGAAGUGUAAGGACAGGUAACAUCUGGUUUACCAAACAGAAUGUCUGAAAUUAAAAAGACUGAUAAUAUUAAUGGGCAUGUGGAGCAAAUCAAAUUCACACACUGUUAGCAAGUGUGUAAAAUGGUUAACCACUUUGGGAAACUAUUUGGCAAUUUUUAUGAAGUUUAACAUACACCUUCCCUGUGACCCAGCAAGUGAUGUGGUUCAAUAUAGGCUCAGACUGGAAAUAACUCAAAUGUCUAUCACAAGGACAAUAGAUAAAUGCCCUAUGGUGCAUACAAUGGGAUAUUACCCAGAAAUUUAAAAAGUAGAGCAAACUCUUGAUGCACACAAUAACAUGAAUGAAUCUCAAAAAUUUUAUGAUAGCAAAAACAUAAGGCAAACAAAAUAGUGCAUACAGUAAUAUUUCACUUGUGUGGCAUUCAGGAAAACAUCAAACUAAUUUAGCAGAAUAAAAUCACAACUGUGCUUCCCAAGGAAUGGAAGGGAGAGUUGGGGAAGCUGAUGGCAAUGGGGCACAGGAAACUUUCGGAAAUAACAGAAAUGCUCUUUGUAUUGAUCUGAGUGAUGGUUAUAAGAGUGUACACACUUGUCAUAAGUCACUGAGCUGUACAAUUAAGAUCAUUGUAUUUCAUUACAUGUAAAUGAUAUCUAAAAAUGUAUGAUUGAAAUGAAAAAGAAGCUUAAAAUAGUAAGAUUUGUUUUAACAAAGAAAAAUGUUCAACAAAAGACAUAGCAGGCCAAUUGUGGUGACUCAUGCCUAUAAACCUAGCACUUUGGGAAGCCGAAGGGGGCAGAUCACUUGAGGUCAGAAGUUCAAGACCAGUCUGGGCAACAUGGUGAAAGCCCUUCUCUCCUAAUAAUACAAAAACUAGCUGGGUGUGGUGAUGUGUGCCUGUAAUCCCAGCUACUCGGGAGGCUGAGACACGAGAAUCCCUUGAACCUGGGAGGCGGAGGUUGCAGUGAGCCAAGAUUGCACCACCGCACUCCAGCCUCGUUGACAGAGUGGAGUGUGGAGUCUCAAAAAAACAAAAAACAAAACCUAGACAUUGCUAAUAAGAAAGGGAGAAAUUUUUGCUCCAUUUUUGUUGCUAUGAAGGACUACUUGAGGCUGGGUCAUUUAUAAAGAAAAUAGAUUCCAUUGGCUCAUGGGUCUGCAGGCUGUACAGGAUACAUGGCGCUGGCAUCUGCUUCUGGUGACUGCCUCUGGAAGCUUCCAAUCAUGACGGAGGGCAAAGGGUGAGAAGGUGUGUCAUGGUGACAGUGAGAGUGGGAGCUAGGUGGGGGAAGGUGCCACAUUCUUUUAGACAACCAGCUAUCACAUGAACUCAGAACGAGAACUCACUUAACACCAAGGAGAUGGUACUAAGCCAUUUAUAAGGGAUCUGCUUCCAUGACCUAAUCACCUCCCACCAGGCCCCACUUCCAACAUCGAGGAUCACAUUUCAACAUGAGAUUUGAAGGGGACAAAACAUCCAAACCACAACACAGAGAAAUGCACUGAGUCAUUUUUCUGUGAUGAGAUAUAUGUGGUACAGCCUAAAAGCAACUAACUGACUUUAACAGGAUACAAUUUUUAUGAAAUCAAGUCCCAAGCCAAGUGUAUAUUUCAUAAUCUAGUGCCUACUAUUUUAAUUCCUUCUGUAUACCAAAAAAUGCACUUAAAGAAUCAAAAUUUUAAAUCACAGAGAAGGAAC
RNAcentral lists this long non-coding RNA (2115 nucleotides) under Pan troglodytes (chimpanzee). Its description in RNAcentral is "long non-coding RNA NONPTRT016818". The record is from RNAcentral. Lineage: Eukaryota; Metazoa; Chordata; Mammalia; Primates; Hominidae.